UACGGAGGGGGCGAGCGUUGUCCGAAGUUAUUGGGCGUAAAGGGCGCGCAGGCGGCCACGCACGUCCGUUGUGAAAUCGCCCGGCUCAACUGGGCGGGGUCAGCGGAUACGGCGUGGCUGGAGCAAGCUAGGGGGCAAUGGAAUUCCCGGUGUAGUGGUGGAAUGCGUAGAUAUCGGGAGGAACACCAGUGGCGAAGGCGGUUGCCUGGAGCUUUGCUGACGCUGAUGCGCGAAAGCGUGGGGAGCGAUCCGG
RNAcentral lists this ribosomal RNA (253 nucleotides) under uncultured bacterium. Its description in RNAcentral is "partial 16S ribosomal RNA". It matches the Rfam family "Bacterial small subunit ribosomal RNA", at positions 524 to 776 of the family's 1533-position model. The record is from RNAcentral.